GUGACAGUGGUGCUUGGCCCAACGUGAUUUAUCAAUUAUAGCUUGUCUGUUCUUCCUACCUAACUCCAUUUCCCUUGAGAAGCUCAGAGCACAUCUAGCUAAAACGAUGAAGAGAAGAGAAGGGGAAGAGGUAGGCCGGAGAGAAGAAAGGGAGAAGGCCGAUGCGGCACUGCCGUCGGCCAAGAUCCUGCACUUCAGACUUGAAGUCAAGCUGUAGAUUUGAAGGGGAGGGGCUCUGUUGUGUCGGCGUGCACGGAAAUGGAAUCUUGCAGCUGGCUAGAAAUCAGCGCUUCGGCAUCAUGGAUCUUUCCAAUAGGACCCUGGAAGAGGAGCUGAACGGCGGCAAGCACUCAUACCAGACAGAAGGCCACGAGAGGAAUCAACUAAGUAUGCGAGCUCGCCUGCUACUAAUCGCAAAAACUGGCGGCUGGAAGCCUCUUGCAUGUGCCGGCGAGGGUCUCGCCGCAGUGCGGUGGUAGUAGGAGCGGUGAGGUCUACGCUCCGGGCGAUGGGACUCUGGCGAGGUAGGCUAAGAAAUUGGGCCUCACGGCAGGGAUGGCGUGCCAACAUGGAGAUUGGCCACACGCUCAAUCAUUGAGGCAGCGGAGACGUCUAGCCUUACCGGGGAGAUAUCAUCGUCGAUGGCGUGCUCAUCGCACCAAGUCACGCAUCCAGCCAACGAACAAAUAAAUUGUACCAUAUUUUUCCUUGCCUCUAUGUCCUAGCUAGCAAAAUGAGUAGCCAAUCUGGUACACAUGUACCAGCCGUUUGUCCUCUGAUUUUUUACUUGUUUGUUCAUUGCAAAACCAGUGGUCAGUGUGCUAUAGCGUGUAAUUUCUGAACCUGAAAAGUUCAGUCCUGAGCUCCCAGACGAUGUUGCAUUAUGGACUCUACACACAAAUAUGCACUUCAAAGCUUUUUUAUCUGAUGUGCUUCGUACAUAACAUUAGGUACUGAAGUUAUAUAUGCAAGACAUGUGUUGUUAUGGCAAAUGUUGCUGGCCUUACUGCUUAACCUUUUCCCGCUCCCAUUAGGAGUUAAAAUUUGAGGUAGCUAUGUGCCUUGCAUUGAAUUAACAGAAUGUGAGGAGGACUCUGGCCAAAUUGCAUGAGCUACUGUGGCAUGUUAUUAGUAAUAAAGCUGGUUUGGAACCAAGCAUAUGACAGUUUCCUCAUUGUAGCAGAUUUGCUGUCUUGACUUCUUACAAAAUGCUGCCAGAUAUUCGGUGCCAUCGGUUAUAUAGUUUUUCUUUUGGAAAAUAAAUAGCUAUCUUUAAGGCUAUUUAAUAAAGGAAUAGCUAUGUCUGCAAAACGUUGAUACUUGAUAGCAUGCGUGCUUGGCUAGCUUUCACCCUUUUAGUUAUACUUCUCCCAUUUCCAACAUUUACGAUCUACGGUCGAACUUAGGUACCGUGUAUUCACAAAACUUUAUAAAAGAGAGUGCCGCCAUGGCAGUAAAAACUGAGGGAGAGCAGCUGGACCUGCACAGCCGGCGACAGGCACCAGUAGCACAAACCGAAUACAGCCUGAUGGCCGAUUUCACGGAUGUGGAGCCGUCACCGAACCAUAUGACCUGUGAAUAAGCAGAACAUGCAGCAGGAAAAAUCAAUUUAGAAGGAUAAUUGUGUCCAUGUGAACCUUCUUCUUUCCAGUACUCAAAACCUGAGUUCACCAAAAAAAAAGGAUCAGUUUAGGCGAAGCAUUGAAUUGGUCUAGCUGGAACUUGGUGGAUGGACCUAGAUGAGAGGAGGUAGAGGUUCCAUAGCAGGUUACCCAGGGUCCCGGUGGUCCGGUGAGAUGGACGCCGCGGACGAACUUGCCAAGCAUGUUGCAUUUCCGCUGGGCGAUGUGUGCAUGUCUCGCUUGUCCUCUCCAAGGGCUAGUUAGCAGUAGCAACAUCAGAAUCGGAGAGCAGGAGCGAGCCUUGGGGAGGGUACCUGGUAUUAUCACCCUGUCGCUCAUCCGGUGCCGCCGGAUCUCCCUCCAAUGGAAAAUCGACCUCGCCGAAGAAACGGCAAGCGACACUGGCUCGAUUCAACAGUGGUAUAUGAGAUAGGGAAUUGGGAUGAUCAGGAGCGGCAACGCCGCUCGGCCGGUGGGUUGGCCUCAUGGCCACCAGCCACCAACCACAUAGGAGCUCAGCCCUGGGCCACCCCAUGGCCACCCCAUAGCCACCAAGCACCGGCAAAGUAGGAGCUCAGCUUGGGUGGCGUGCCACCCUGAUGGACGCCUGAGCACACGCAGCAAUGGAGGGAGAGGAGAGAGCCGAUCGUUGGGGUGGAGGUGGGCGGCGGCCAUGGAAUUUUAUUUGACUGGGACGAUGGGAUUGGGGAGGAAAAUAGAGAUGGGGUUGAGGCCGCUGAGUCUAGAUUUUUCGAGGUGGGACCUAUGCACCGCUUUGACCAUAUAAGAAGAAGGAAACCGGAAAGGCAACCGGUAACCGAACACGCAGGAUUUGGAAAAAAAAAAAAGAGGAACCAAUUUGUUGGAUCUACAGUAACAGAAAGGGGUACGUGUCAUUGAAUGGAGGAGGUAACUGGCGUGAAAUUGGACGUGUACAGUACUCCAGAUUAAUCAAGAAGCGCUAAACUGUAUGUCUUUUAUAUAGGGUAUAAUUAAUCAACUCCCAAAUCUGAUUCACGUCU
Lolium perenne is the source of this 2644-nucleotide long non-coding RNA. RefSeq lists it as uncharacterized. NCBI's taxonomy places the organism in Eukaryota, Viridiplantae, Streptophyta, Magnoliopsida, Poales, Poaceae. The record is from RefSeq and is a predicted model, not a curated record.